GAUGAACGCUGGCGGCAUGCUUUACACAUGCAAGUCGAACGGUAACAGGGUGCUUGCACCGCUGACGAGUGGCGAACGGGUGGGUAAUGCGUCGGAACGUGCCGAGUAGUGGGGGAUAACGCAGCGAAAGUUGUGCUAAUACCGCAUACGUACUGAGGUAGAAAGUGGGGGACCUUCGGGCCUCACGCUAUUCGAGCGGCCGACGUCUGAUUAGCUAGUAGGUGAGGUAAAGGCUCACCUAGGCGACAAUCAGUAGCGGGUCUGAGAGGAUGAUCCGCCACACUGGGACUGAGACACGGCCCAGACUCCUACGGGAGGCAGCAGUGGGGAAUUUUGGACAAUGGGCGAAAGCCUGAUCCAGCCAUGCCGCGUGUCUGAAGAAGGCCUUCGGGUUGUAAAGGACUUUUGUCAGGGAGGAAAUCCCUAGUGCUAAUAACACUGGGGGAUGACAGUACCUGAAGAAUAAGCACCGGCUAACUACGUGCCAGCAGCCGCCGUAA
RNAcentral lists this ribosomal RNA (500 nucleotides) under uncultured bacterium. Its description in RNAcentral is "partial 16S ribosomal RNA". It matches the Rfam family "Bacterial small subunit ribosomal RNA", at positions 28 to 523 of the family's 1533-position model. The record is from RNAcentral.